CUUUGAUAUUAAUUCAAAAUAUGUAGCCCUGUUCAUCUUCGCAGAUUCGGGAUCAUGCCCCGACAAGCACGCUCCUGUACUUGCCGCAGUGGGAUGCCGGCGCCUGGCCCUCGACUGGAUCGGCGUGGGCUGAAUGCCCUCUACCGGGGGAAUCCAUCUUGAGCGAUCCACAGCGCGGACUGGGAGGCUUUGCCUGCCUCGCCUGCAUCUCCUUUGCAUCAAAACACAGCGGGGGACGAGGGGAGGGGGAGACCAGACUAAAUAACGCCGAAGUGCCUUCAGCAAGGGGCAGCAGGGAGGAAAUCGGUGGUGCUCCUCUCAGCUGUGCUGCUUCAGUGAGAGAAGCGGGAGAAAGCUUGUCAGGCUCCUCUCCCCUGCCACCGUAUAGGCCAGGCAUCGGCCCCAGCUUUGCUCUUCGUGUUGCCCACAGACAUGUUGCCAUGCUACCAUGUUAGGAGUUUCACCCCCAUCACAUGCAGCAGACACCAGGCUUCCUUGUGCGAGAGAGAUCUGAAGUGCUGUGCUGGGACCCCCCCUCAAGUUUAAUAACACCCUUGCUGGUUGCUGCUCAACCGGGCUAUGAAAGGCGACAAAGAUGGCGGCAGGAGAGCAGCAUGGAGCUGCCCACCUUGUCCUUCCCUGUCCUGGCCUGCUGCACUUGCAAUUCCUUUGUCCCAGCCCAGAAGAUUUGA
This 692-nucleotide long non-coding RNA is filed under the name Anser brachyrhynchus (Pink-footed goose). Its description in RNAcentral is "lncRNA (ENSABRG00000017919.1)". Lineage: Eukaryota; Metazoa; Chordata; Aves; Anseriformes; Anatidae. The record is from RNAcentral.